RNAcentral lists this ribosomal RNA (253 nucleotides) under uncultured bacterium. RNAcentral's name for it is "partial 16S ribosomal RNA". It matches the Rfam family "Bacterial small subunit ribosomal RNA", at positions 524 to 776 of the family's 1533-position model. The record is from RNAcentral.
UACGUAGGUGGCAAGCGUUGUUCGGAAUUACUGGGCGUAAAGGGCGCGUAGGCGGCCUUCUAAGUCAGACGUGAAAUCCCUCGGCUCAACCGGGGAACUGCGUCUGAGACUGGAAGGCUUGAAUCCGGGAGAGGGAUGUGGAAUUCCAGGUGUAGCGGUGAAAUGCGUAGAUAUCUGGAGGAACACCGGUGGCGAAGGCGGCAUCCUGGACCGGUAUUGACGCUGAGGCGCGAAAGCCAGGGGAGCAAACGGG